RNAcentral lists this ribosomal RNA (577 nucleotides) under uncultured bacterium. Its description in RNAcentral is "bacterial SSU rRNA". It matches the Rfam family "Bacterial small subunit ribosomal RNA", at positions 338 to 916 of the family's 1533-position model. The record is from RNAcentral.
CCUACGGGAGGCAGCAGUGAGGAAUAUUGCGCAAUGGCCGAAAGGCUGACGCAGCGACGCCGCGUGAAGGAUGAAGUCCGUUAGGACGUAAACUUCUUUUGCAGGGGAUGAAUGUUCCCGAUUUAUCGGGAAUUGACCGUACCCUGCGAAUAAGGAUCGGCCAACUACGUGCCAGCAGCCGCGGUAAUACGUAGGAUCCGAGCGUUGUCCGGAAUUACUGGGUGUAAAGGGCGUGUAGGUGGGUCUCUAAGUCGGGGGUGAAAUCCUGGAGCUUAACUCCAGAAUUGCUUCCGAUACUGGAGGUCUUGAGUACGGCAGAGGGAGAUGGAAUUCAUGGUGUAGCGGUGAAAUGUGUAGAUAUCAUGAAGAACACCGGUAGCGAAGGCGGUCUCCUGGUCCGUUACUGACACUGAGGCGCGAAAGCGUGGGGAGCAAACAGGAUUAGAUACCCUGGUAGUCCACGCCUUAAACGAUGGGUACUCGGUGCUGGGCCGCAAGGUUCAGUGCCAAAGCUAACGCAUUAAGUACCCCACCUGGGGAGUACGAUCGCAAGGUUGAAACUCAAAGGAAUUGACGG